RNAcentral lists this ribosomal RNA (636 nucleotides) under Triticum aestivum (bread wheat). RNAcentral's name for it is "partial small subunit ribosomal RNA". The record is from RNAcentral. Lineage: Eukaryota; Viridiplantae; Streptophyta; Magnoliopsida; Poales; Poaceae.
AUGGGGGAGCAGACCGCCAACCUCGCCGCGCUCAUGGAGACGCUGCUCUCCAGAUUUGACAAAGAAAAGGUGCUCACUGACAAGAGGGCCGAGGCGCAGACGACGUUCAACACCCAAGUGUCCCACGAACUACAGAGCUUGGCCAAGAAAAUCGGCCUCACCCAGGCGGACGUGAAUGACAUACGUAAAGUUGGCACACCAUCAGCGUCGUCAGCCCCCUCCUCGGGUUCUCAGGUGGACGAUCCAUCGGCGGCGGUGUUGCACACCCCGGCAGGGUGGACUGCACCACCACCACCACCACCAUCGAUUGUGCGUGUCGCGCCGCCUCCGAGCGCCUUGUCAAUUCCGCAGAGCAUCAUAGGCUCCGGGCCGCUCGCACGGCUCUCCAAUGACGGUCCGCUGCUGCUCUCCCGACCAGAUGACGCCCUCAGGUUGCCGGAGAGCGGACCACAGCCUGUGCCGCGUGAGGACUACUCCAGCAGGCCACCCCGUUUUGAAGGUGACGCCCCACACGUGUGCCUGGAUCACUGCUUAGCCUAUUUUGAGCUCUAUCGAGUGCCACAACAUAACUGGGUGGCCACGACAGCCCUAUACGUCGAGGGCCAUGCUGCUCUCUGGUUGCGGGCGUUCCGAUAG